This 440-nucleotide ribosomal RNA is filed under the name uncultured bacterium. RNAcentral's name for it is "partial 16S ribosomal RNA". It matches the Rfam family "Bacterial small subunit ribosomal RNA", at positions 338 to 795 of the family's 1533-position model. The record is from RNAcentral.
CCUACGGGAGGCUGCAGUAGGGAAUAUUGCUCAAUGGGGGAAACCCUGAAGCAGCAACGCCGCGUGGAGGAUGAAGGUUUUAGGAUUGUAAACUCCUUUUGUUAGAGAAGAAUAUGACGGUAUCUAACGAAUAAGCACCGGCCAACUCCGUGCCAGCAGCCGCGGUAAUACGGAGGGUGCAAGCGUGAACCGGAAUCACUGGGCGUAAAGGGUGCGUAGGGGGGGUAAUAGGUCAGAUGUGAAAUCCUGUAGCUUAACUGCAGAACUGCAUUUGAAACUGUUACUCUGGAGUGUGGGAGAGGUAGGUGGAAUGCUUGGUGUAGAGGUGAAAUCCAUAGAGAUCAAGAGGAAUACUCAUUGCGAAGGCGACCUGCUGGAACAUUACUGACGCUGAUGCACGAAAGCGUGGGUAGCAAACAGGAUUAGAUACCCGGGUAGUC